AGGGCACCACCAGGAGUGGAGCCUGCGGCUUAAUUUGACUCAACACGGGAAAACUCACCCGGCCCGGACACCGUAAGGAUUGACAGACUGAGAGCUCUUUCUUAAUUCGGUGGGUGGUGGUGCAUGGCCGUUCUUAGUUGGUGGAGCGAUUUGUCUGGUUAAUUCCGAUAACGAACGAGACUCUGGCCUAUUAAAUAGACGGAAUAUCACUUAAGUAUUCCGCGCUUCUUAGAGGGACAAGCGGCGUCUAGCCGCAUGAAAUAGAGCAAUAACAGGUCUGUGAUGCCCUUAGAUGUCCGGGGCUGCACGCGCGCUACACUGAAAGAAUCAGUGUGCUCACUCGCCUAGUUCGGAAGAACCGGGUAACCCAAGUAAAUUCUUUCGUGCUUGGGAUAGGGAAUUGCAAUUAUUUCCCUUAAACGAGGAAUUCCCAGUAAGUGCGGGUCAUAAGCUCGCGUUGAUUACGUCCCUGCCCUUUGUACACACCGCCCGUCGCUACUAUCGAGUGAUGAGUUAUCC
Molecule: ribosomal RNA, 519 nt
Filed under: uncultured eukaryote
Lineage: Eukaryota
Description: SSU rRNA
Rfam family: Eukaryotic small subunit ribosomal RNA
Source: RNAcentral